ACUCCUACGGGAGGCAGCAGUGGGGAAUAUUGGACAAUGGGGGCAACCCUGAUCCAGCCAUGCCGCGUGUGUGAAGAAGGCCCUCGGGUUGUAAAGCACUUUCAGCGAGGAAGAACGCCUGUCGGUUAAUACCCGGCAGGAGAGACAUCACUCGCAGAAGAAGCACCGGCUAACUCCGUGCCAGCAGCCGCGGUAAUACGGAGGGUGCAAGCGUUAAUCGGAAUUACUGGGCGUAAAGCGCGCGUAGGUGGCUUGAUAAGCCGGUCGUGAAAGCCCCGGGCUCAACCUGGGAACGGCAUCCGGAACUGUCAGGCUAGAGUGCAGGAGAGGAAGGUAGAAUUCCCGGUGUAGCGGUGAAAUGCGUAGAGAUCGGGAGGAAUACCAGUGGCGAAGGCGGCCUUCUGGACUGACACUGACACUGAGGUGCGAAAGCGUGGGUAGCAAACAGGAUUAGAUACCCUGGUAGUCCACGCCGUAAACGAUGUCGACCAGCCGUUGGGUGCCUAGCGCACUUUGUGGCGAAGUUAACGCGAUAAGUCGACCGCCUGGGGAGUACGGCCGCAAGGUUAAAACUCAAAGGAAUUGACGG
This 589-nucleotide ribosomal RNA is filed under the name uncultured bacterium. Its description in RNAcentral is "bacterial SSU rRNA". It matches the Rfam family "Bacterial small subunit ribosomal RNA", at positions 335 to 916 of the family's 1533-position model. The record is from RNAcentral.